Molecule: ribosomal RNA, 314 nt
Filed under: uncultured eukaryote
Lineage: Eukaryota
Description: partial 18S ribosomal RNA
Rfam family: Eukaryotic small subunit ribosomal RNA
Source: RNAcentral
CCCUUAGAUGUUCUGGGCUGCACGCGCGCUACACUGAUGUGUUCAUCGGGUUCGACCUUGCCCGGGAGGGUUGGGUAAUCCUUUCAAAACACAUCGUGAUGGGGAUAGAUUAUUGCAAUUAUUAAUCUUCAACGAGGAAUUCCUAGUAAACGCAAGUCAUCAACUUGCAUUGAUUACGUCCCUGCCCUUUGUACACACCGCCCGUCGCACCUACCGAUUGAAUGGUCCGGUGAAGCCUCCGGAUUGGCGCGCACCUCGGUGCCGCCGAGAAGUUGGCUAAACCUUACCAUUUAGAGGAAGGUGAAGUCGUANCA